CUUCCAGUGCCGACAACUAAAGGCAUUAAAGCAUUCCCGCCUGGGGGAGUACGACCCGCAAGGUUGAAACUCAAAAGAAAAUGACGGGGGCCCGCACAAGCGGUGGAGCAUGUGGUUUAAUUCGAAGCAACGCGAAGAACCUUACCAGGUCUUGACAUCUUUUGAUCACCUGAGAGAUCAGGUUUCCCCUUCGGGGGCAAAAUGACAGGUGGUGCAUGGUUGUCGUCAGCUCGUGUCGUGAGAUGUUGGGUUAAGUCCCGCAACGAGCGCAACCCUUAUGACUAGUUGCCAGCAUUUAGUUGGGCACUCUAGUAAGACUGCCGGUGACAAACCGGAGGAAGGUGGGGAUGACGUCAAAUCAUCAUGCCCCUUAUGACCUGGGCUACACACGUGCUACAAUGGAUGGUACAACGAGUUGCGAGACCGCGAGGUCAAGCUAAUCUCUUAAAGCCAUUCUCAGUUCGGACUGUAGGCUGCAACUCGCCUACACGAAGUCGAAUCGCAGAUCGCAGCUGAUC
Molecule: ribosomal RNA, 518 nt
Filed under: Lacticaseibacillus casei
Lineage: Bacteria; Bacillati; Bacillota; Bacilli; Lactobacillales; Lactobacillaceae
Description: bacterial SSU rRNA
Rfam family: Bacterial small subunit ribosomal RNA
Source: RNAcentral